This 75-nucleotide transfer RNA is filed under the name Candidatus Daviesbacteria bacterium. Its description in RNAcentral is "tRNA-Pro". It matches the Rfam family "tRNA". From Rfam's summary of the family: Transfer RNA (tRNA) molecules are approximately 80 nucleotides in length. Their secondary structure includes four short double-helical elements and three loops (D, anti-codon, and T loops). Lineage: Bacteria; Candidatus Daviesiibacteriota. The record is from RNAcentral.
CGGGGUGUAGUUCAUCGGUAGAACGCUCGGAUGGGGUCCGAGAAGCAUGGGGUUCAAUUCCCCACACCCCGACCA